AUGAUCAGUCAUUUGUUUCAGCCGAUCAAUUCCUUCUGUUUUGGAUCUUUUUUCACCUUGCCGAUGAUGCAUUCGGCGGGGUUGCAGAUUCCAGCGGCAUGGCCGAUAUGUGGUGCAUGCAUGGAUGAAUAUCAUCCAUGCAUGCAUUGCGCUGCCUAUGCUUGCAUUUUAGAAGGGAUUGAUCGGUUGAAGUUUUCCUUUCCAUUUUUUUUUCACCUGCCUCUUUGGAGGCAGGGGUGUGAGGAGAGGACGCCGGAGCACUCAGCUACAAAGGUUGAUGCGCUUCCGUUCUCUUCCACAAAUGGAGAAGGUUGA
RNAcentral lists this ribosomal RNA (315 nucleotides) under Triticum aestivum (bread wheat). RNAcentral's name for it is "partial small subunit ribosomal RNA". The record is from RNAcentral. Lineage: Eukaryota; Viridiplantae; Streptophyta; Magnoliopsida; Poales; Poaceae.